This is a long non-coding RNA of Tigriopus californicus, 285 nucleotides long. RefSeq lists it as uncharacterized. The record is from RefSeq and is a predicted model, not a curated record. The transcript is spliced from 3 exons. Lineage: Eukaryota; Metazoa; Arthropoda; Copepoda; Harpacticoida; Harpacticidae.
CAUCUUGAAAUUGAAAUCAGUAUAAACCGUGCAUAAAUUGCUUUUGAAAUGUCAUGUUCACCAAUUAAGACCAGCUUUUACAAGGUCCAGUCUGCAUUGAGCUAAUUGCAUGACCCAAAUUUGAGGCCACACCCUAAGGCACACCGACAUUUUUUGAAAAGGAGACACCAUAUCUGGGAGGUCUUUUUGAAAACUCUGAGGAACAAAGACAACGCCUGAAAAUAGGUUCGAGGAUGAGUAACAAAAUCUAAGGUAAUGCCCUAUUGUUAUGUUUCGUACUCUUGG